Molecule: unclassified non-coding RNA, 306 nt
Filed under: plant metagenome
Description: partial contains 5.8S ribosomal RNA, internal transcribed spacer 2, and large subunit ribosomal RNA
Rfam family: 5.8S ribosomal RNA (bases 1-105)
Source: RNAcentral
GAAAUGCGAGAAGUAGUGUGAAUUGCAGAAUUCAGUGAAUCAUCGAAUCUUUGAACGCACAUUGCGCCCCUUGGUAUUCCAUGGGGCAUGCCUGUUCGAGCGUCAUCUACACCCUCAAGCUCUGCUUGGUGUUGGGCGUCUUUGUCCCGCCUCCGCGCGCGGACUCGCCCCAAAUUCAUUGGCAGCGGUCCUUGCCUCCUCUCGCGCAGCACAUUGCGCUUCUCGAGGUGUUGCGGCCCGCGUCCAGAAAGCAAUCGUUACCGUCUUUGACCUCGGAUCAGGUAGGGAUACCCGCUGAACUUAAGC